UCGGAUUAUAAAUGGAUUCCA
Molecule: non-coding RNA, 21 nt
Filed under: Caenorhabditis elegans
Lineage: Eukaryota; Metazoa; Nematoda; Chromadorea; Rhabditida; Rhabditidae
Source: RNAcentral